Haliotis rubra (blacklip abalone) is the source of this 362-nucleotide long non-coding RNA. RefSeq lists it as uncharacterized. The transcript is spliced from 3 exons. The record is from RefSeq and is a predicted model, not a curated record. NCBI's taxonomy places the organism in Eukaryota, Metazoa, Mollusca, Gastropoda, Lepetellida, Haliotidae.
ACUCGAUGUGUACAAGGGAAGAUUAUUGUGUCACGAGCCACGGUGUAUAAAGGCAACUGUGGAGAUACCUGGGCAUUCAUUCAUCCACAAUGAAGGCAGCGUUUCUGAUUCUCCUCGUCUCUGUCAUGCUCAUUGGGUCAGCAUUUGUCGCUGAUGCCCAGUGUAACGGCAUUUGCCACAACGACCAUGACUGCCAACACUGCAACAACCAUUGCCACAACGGAGGUCACUGUGUCCAUCCAGCAGGUGCUCCCGCGGGAGACUGCACAUGUCGGCAUUAAUUCUGUAACCCAGGAAAAGGGGCUGAACCAGCGGCCACCUUGUACUGAGAGAUAAUAAAAGAGAAUUAUAUUCUGUGAAAA